Molecule: ribosomal RNA, 449 nt
Filed under: uncultured bacterium
Lineage: Bacteria
Description: partial 16S ribosomal RNA
Rfam family: Bacterial small subunit ribosomal RNA
Source: RNAcentral
GUGGGGAAUAUUGGACAAUGGGCGAAAGCCUGAUCCAGCCAUGCCGCGUGUGUGAAGAAGGUCUUCGGAUUGUAAAGCACUUUAAGUUGGGAGGAAGGGCAGUAAGUUAAUACCUUGCUGUUUUGACGUUACCAACAGAAUAAGCACCGGCUAACUUCGUGCCAGCAGCCGCGGUAAUACGAAGGGUGCAAGCGUUAAUCGGAAUUACUGGGCGUAAAGCGCGCGUAGGUGGUUCAGCAAGUUGGAGGUGAAAUCCCCGGGCUCAACCUGGGAACUGCCUCCAAAACUACUGAGCUAGAGUACGGUAGAGGGUAGUGGAAUUUCCUGUGUAGCGGUGAAAUGCGUAGAUAUAGGAAGGAACACCAGUGGCGAAGGCGACUACCUGGACUGAUACUGACACUGAGGUGCGAAAGCGUGGGGAGCAAACAGGAUUAGAUACCCUUGAGUCC